CCUACGGGGGGCAGCAGUGGGGAAUAUUGCACAAUGGGCGCAAGCCUGAUGCAGCCAUGCCGCGUGUGUGAAGAAGGCCUUCGGGUUGUAAGCACUUUCAGCGAGGAGGAAGGUGGUGAGCUUAAUACGUUCAUCAAUUGACGUUACUAGCAGAAGAAGCACCGGCUAACUCCGUGCCAGCAGCCGCGGUAAUACGGAGGGUGCACGCGUAAAUCGGAAUUACUGGGCGUAAAGCGCACGCAGGCGGUGUGGUAAGUCAGAUGCGGAAGCCCCGGGCUCAACCUGGGAACUGCAUUUGAAACUGGCAAGCUAGAGUCUCGUAGAGGGGGGUAGAAUUCCAGGUGUAGCGGUGAAAUGCGUAGAGAUCUGGAGGAAUACCGGUGGCGAAGGCGGCCCCCUGGACAAAGACUGACGCUCAGGUGCGAAAGCGUGGGGAGCAAACAGGAUUAGAUACCCUGGUAGUC
This 464-nucleotide ribosomal RNA is filed under the name uncultured Serratia sp. RNAcentral describes it as "bacterial SSU rRNA". It matches the Rfam family "Bacterial small subunit ribosomal RNA", at positions 338 to 795 of the family's 1533-position model. The record is from RNAcentral. Lineage: Bacteria; Pseudomonadati; Pseudomonadota; Gammaproteobacteria; Enterobacterales; Yersiniaceae.